This is a non-coding RNA of Pelodiscus sinensis (Chinese soft-shelled turtle), 2854 nucleotides long. NCBI's taxonomy places the organism in Eukaryota, Metazoa, Chordata, Testudines, Trionychidae. The record is from RefSeq and is a predicted model, not a curated record.
GCCAACGCUGCAGCUACAGACACCAUACCAGUCGCUGCCACCCCGGCACCCACGGCUUGCAGACACCUUAACUGCUGUCACCGCACCAACUGCCGCCAUGCCAACUGCCAACCCCAAACCUGACACCACCGUUGCAGCAAGACGCCGCUGCCACAGCCAGACCUGCAUAUACAGGUGAAACCUACGCCGGUCAGGGAGAUGGGAUAGGAAGCAGCCCAGGGCGGGGAGCAGGAACAUGCCCAGCAGGCUUGGCACGUUUCAGGGAGAACUCCCCACCGAGCCAGUGGUGGGAACCAACCACCCACCACUGAUAGGGCCCUGGGCUGGGGCCCGGCGGAGAGGGAGGGCCCAGGUCCCUCUACCCCCUCUUCCCAGAUUCCGGACCAGGAGGAGAUCCUGAAAGACUGGGCCUGUGUGCGAGAGACUCGGCCUCUGGGCCUGACUGCGCAGGACUACACACCCCACCACAGGCUCCAUAAGGCAGAUGUGUGGCCUCUGCUUCCCUUAGGUGUCAGUGAUACUUCUCUUCAAGAAAAAGAAAAGAUUAAAUUUCUAGUGACCUGUGAAACCAAGGAAGGAAGCAGAAUUUCAUUUCAGAGGUUUGACACCAGUGUUUUGGGGAAAGAGCACCACUUUCAUUACACUAAUUGUAUGUCAUCUGCUGUUGGCCAGUUUCGAGUAAUGUCCUGGUGAUAAAUUCCUUUCAGGCAUGAGAUUAUUACAUUAGAAGACUAUCUGAAGUGUACUGGACUGCACUUCAUGGAUACAACUAGUUUGGAGGACAAAGGGAUCAUGUGUCCUCACGUUUAACUUUCCUGUUGAUUUCCUCCUGGAAACUGGACAAGACAUAUUUCCAUUCCUUGUUCUUCCUUCAACUGAUUUUUAAAUAUAGUUGCUCCAAUUCAAUUAGAAAAAUUGAAUUUAUCUUCCUCUCAAAUGUCCUUCCCAUCCAAAUACACUUAUGUGUCUGCUCUCCUAAGAGUAAUUGUAUUUCGACACAAAAGGAAAUUAUACUGAUGUAUAAGAGGAAUUAAAAAUCAUUAUUUAAUAUCAUUGUUGUUACCUAAAAUUGGAAGGCUCACUUUGCAUUUACGUAUACCUCCAUGACUCCCACUUGGAUUUUUCACACCCGUGAGUGAUGUAGUUAUAUGAUACAGGUCUGUAGCAUAAACCUAGCUUUACAUACAAAACAAAAUCAUAAAAUGUGAACUAGGUCCUACAUAUAUUAGUAGCUACCUGAGUCAGUCUUUCAUCACUGUUUAUAGACAGGGUGAUCCCCUCACUGUCAUCCCUUUUCACUUCCAAGUAGUUUUGAUGUUCACAGUUUAUCUUUGAUCAGUUUUCAUUGACUUUUUUGGGUUGGUACAAAGGUAGACAACUGAGCAAUAAUCAGCUGGGGGGAGGGGAAUUACAACCUUUCAGUAGAGACCUGACAUGCUCCCUUUCUGGAUAAGUACCGAGAAAGUGGUGCAUCAGGUAUAGUGUAGAUAUCUUUCUGUGUCACAACCAUCACCCUCACUGUCCCCUUCAUCUUAAUCCUGAAAAAUGCCCUGACCAGAUCAAGCCAAAGAGAGGGAGGCAAAUGACAUUUUUACCUCCUCUGGCUCCAGCUAGCUCCCAAAGAUCAGCUGGAAAAAAGACUGUCACACACCUGUUGUGUGUUCUUUUCCUCCCCCUUCUUAUUCCUUCUAUUUCCCAGCCCUCGCCUUUUUCUUUCUGACUAAUAAAAAUCUGGCUUAGCCAGCCACAUCUGUAUAUUUUGCAAUAUUGCUGUCUGUCACCACAUUAGGCAACUAAAUGCAAUGCCCUAAACAGCCUAAACUUUAUACAAGUUUGCCAGGUCAUCAAAGUGCAGAUUAUACCUGUAUGCUGUGUUUGUGUUUCUCUAGCAAUAGGCUGCAAGUAUUGGUAUCUCUUUUACCUUCUAGGAAACACAAUUGGACUUUAGUAACAUCUGCUCCAGCCCAUUUCAAUUAUCUUCCGUCUUUCCCACCAAAAGAACAGCUAUCACUGUAUAAUAACAACAUCUGAAAAAUUGUCUGAUGGGGGGAUUUCUUUCUAAAAACUAUACUUAAAGGGAAAGUGAACAAAGGAUGUUGUUACAAUCAAAGCCUUACUUAAUUGUUUACAUUUAAAAUACCUGAACUUUUUUUUCUCUCUCUUCUGUAUCUGUAAUAUAAGAUUUCAAUGGUGUUUAAUGCUGUGUUUGCCAAUAUACUAAGCAAGCUAAGGUCUCAGUAUACCUUGUUAACACUGAUAUAAGGUUGAACAGUAACUGGGUCAUAGUAACCCCUUUAGCUUAUUGGGCCACUUUAUUCCAUCUAAAUUAACACAGUGUGAACUUUCAUUGAAGAUUGAUGUAAGAAAUGGCUAAGGGGCCCCACCUAUAGCAAGAUAUAAGGAGUCUGCCCAAAGACCAUAUAAAUGAAGGGUUCCAGUGGGUAAAGUUGUGGGGUGUGUAUCUGUAUGGGUAUAUUUACACAGAAGCAGGGAGGGUCUUGAUAUUGUGUACUGAAAAACAGGCCCGGGGUUUAAAUCCACAAAGUGAUUUAGACAUUACAACUUGGAACAAUGUGGCACCUAACUUUAGGCACCUGAAAGUCAUGGGAACAACACUGCCAUCCACAAAGGCCAAGUUAGGUGCCUAGGAUUCCUAUACAAUGAAUGGGAAGUGAUGGAUGCCUUACUCCAAGUUACAAAACAUAGAGAACCAAAAAAGUGCCACUGUGGUUUAACAACCAAGUAAAAGAAGCAGCGAGAGAUAAAAGUAUAAUUUUCAAAGUACAAAUUAAAUCCUAGUGAGGAAAACAGAAAAAAGCAUAAACACCUGCAAAUGAAGUGUAAAAAUAUAAUU